RNAcentral lists this ribosomal RNA (253 nucleotides) under uncultured bacterium. Its description in RNAcentral is "partial 16S ribosomal RNA". It matches the Rfam family "Bacterial small subunit ribosomal RNA", at positions 524 to 776 of the family's 1533-position model. The record is from RNAcentral.
GACAGAGGCCUCGAGCGUUAGGCGGAAUCACUGGGCUUAAAGCGUGUGUAGGCGGAUCGUUAAGUGCCUUGUGAAAUCCCACGGCUUAACUGUGGAACGGCUGGGCAUACUGGCGGUCUUGAGCCAUCUAGGGGCGACUGGAACAAACGGUGGAGCGGUGAAAUGCGUAGAUAUCGUUUGAAACGCCAAUGGUGAAAACAGGUCGCUGGGGAUGAGCUGACGCUGAGACACGAAAGCCAGGGGAGCAAACGGG